RNAcentral lists this ribosomal RNA (253 nucleotides) under uncultured bacterium. RNAcentral describes it as "partial 16S ribosomal RNA". It matches the Rfam family "Bacterial small subunit ribosomal RNA", at positions 524 to 776 of the family's 1533-position model. The record is from RNAcentral.
UACGAAGGGAACUAGCGUUGCUCGGAAUCACUGGGCGUAAAGCGGGCGCAGGCGGACUAUCCAGUCAGGGGUGAAAGCCCAAGGCUUAACCUUGGAAUUGCCUUUGAAACUGAUAGUCUGGAGUGUGUGAGGGGGUAGCGGAAUUCCGAAUGUAGAGGUGAAAUUCGUAGAUAUUCGGAGGAACACCGGUGGCGAAGGCGGCUACCUGGCACACAACUGACGCUGAGGCCCGAAAGCGUGGGGAGCGAACAGG